CGAACGCUGGCGGCAUGCCUAACACAUGCAAGUCGACCGAGACCUUCGGGUCUAGUGGCGCACGGGUGCGUAACGCGUGGGAACCUGCCCUUAGGUUCGGAAUAACUCCCCGAAAGGGGUGCUAAUACCGGAUAAUGUCUUCGGACCAAAGAUUUAUCGCCUUUGGAUGGGCCCGCGUUGGAUUAGCUAGUUGGUAGGGUAAAAGCCUACCAAGGCGACGAUCCAUAGCUGGUCUGAGAGGAUGAUCAGCCACACUGGGACUGAGACACGGCCCAGACUCCUACGGGAGGCAGCAGUGGGGAAUAUUGGACAAUGGGCGAAAGCCUGAUCCAGCAAUGCCGCGUGAGUGAUGAAGGCCUUAGGGUUGUAAAGCUCUUUUACCCGGGAGGAUAAUGACAGUACCGGGAGAAUAAGCUCCGGCUAACUCCGUG
Molecule: ribosomal RNA, 431 nt
Filed under: uncultured bacterium
Lineage: Bacteria
Description: partial 16S ribosomal RNA
Rfam family: Bacterial small subunit ribosomal RNA
Source: RNAcentral